GUGGAUGUAGCUCAGUUGGUAGAGCCCCGGAUUGUGGUUCCGGUCGUCGUGGGUUCGAGUCCCAUCAUCCACCCCA
This 76-nucleotide transfer RNA is filed under the name Gammaproteobacteria bacterium. RNAcentral's name for it is "tRNA-His". It matches the Rfam family "tRNA". Rfam says of the family: Transfer RNA (tRNA) molecules are approximately 80 nucleotides in length. Lineage: Bacteria; Pseudomonadati; Pseudomonadota; Gammaproteobacteria. The record is from RNAcentral.